RNAcentral lists this ribosomal RNA (253 nucleotides) under uncultured bacterium. Its description in RNAcentral is "partial 16S ribosomal RNA". It matches the Rfam family "Bacterial small subunit ribosomal RNA", at positions 524 to 776 of the family's 1533-position model. The record is from RNAcentral.
UACGUAGGGUGCAAGCGUUGUCCGGAAUUAUUGGGCGUAAAGAGCUCGUAGGCGGUUUGUCGCGUCUGCUGUGAAAACGCGAGGCUCAACCUCGCGCCUGCAGUGGGUACGGGCAGACUAGAGUGCGGUAGGGGAGAUUGGAAUUCCUGGUGUAGCGGUGGAAUGCGCAGAUAUCAGGAGGAACACCGGUGGCGAAGGCGGAUCUCUGGGCCAUUACUGACGCUGAGGAGCGAAAGCGUGGGGAGCGAACAGG